This 596-nucleotide long non-coding RNA is filed under the name Homo sapiens (human). Its description in RNAcentral is "PARP11 antisense RNA 1". Lineage: Eukaryota; Metazoa; Chordata; Mammalia; Primates; Hominidae. The record is from RNAcentral.
AGCCUCGGAAGCAGUCUCUCCCUCUGAUCUCCUGCCCUUCUGUCUCCUGCCCAUCUUUCGUCCCAGAAGUGAGUCACAGAAACCAGAAUUCUUCCCCAAGCGCAGCUUAACUUGGACUCACCACCUAUCAAGUGCUCGACAGCCACGUGUGCAGUGGUUCCUACGUGGAGCAGCAUACAUCCAGAGAUGCAAAUAUUAAUGAGGACAGUGCUAGUAACAGAGUUGCUGAGCAAUCUAUGUCCCCUUGUAAGAACCAGUGCCCCAGGGGAAGAAACAGAACUCCACAAGGUAGCAGUGUGGGUGUAGUACCCGCAUGUGCCCAUGUUAUGGGAAUGUAGAUGGGGAGUGACCACCGCCAACAGAAGUGUGGCCAUCUUGCCCGAGAUGCCUGAGGACCUCCUAUUUUUAGAUGCUGCUGCCCAAGGCCUGUAUUUCAUGCUAUGGCUUUUGUCAUUUGAAUUAUCAGUAGCUGUCUCGGAGCUAUUACGCUUCACUGGGCCCUGGAGGAUAUUGUCUUAUACAGUCCACUGGGUUUUGGAUAUGCAGUCUGUGCCUUUCAUUGCCUUCCUGGAAAAUAAUAACUAAACUCUUCCUCA